CUUUUUCACAGCAGACUUACUAGCUAUCUGUGAAGAGUGAUACUUGUAUGUUUGUUAAUAUCACUUAUCAUAGCCUCCCAGGUAGCUACUAAGUGUGCUGUGAUAUUAACAAAUAUCACUUUUCACAGCAAGCCCAGGACCCGCUAAGCCCUGGAUGGGGCUAAAGGGGGAGGCAGCAUUAUUUUUGUUAUUGAGUCUGCCAAAAAACCCUACCGAUAUACAUUACAAUGAUUUGGAAGUGUAUCUGUGCAUAUUUAAUUGUUUUUCCUAAAGUUAAUUAAGUAUUUUAGGGAAAAAAGUGUCAGUGUGGCCACCAGUGAGAGUUGGGGGCCACACUCUGAGGCUAUCAAAAAUUUUGUUGCAAGAACCCCUGGCCUAGAGCCCUUCCCUUAGCCACACAUUUCACUGACCAUUCAUAGCAAUAUAUUUCACUGCGCUUCUCAGUUAGUGCUCUGAUACCAGCAUGAUGGACUCAGUAUAAAAACCUGAAGAGGAAAUUCAGCUAAAUUAGUAAUAUAGCUAACCCUGCACAUUUUAGGAGCUUGGUAGAUUUUUUGCUAAUAUAGUCAGUUUGAGAGUUUCAAAGGCUCAUAACUUUGUAAAUCAACACCAAGAAUUUAGUCAUUAAGAUUUUUAAUAAGGUUUUAUUACUAUAGAAUAAUAUUAUGCAGUGUUCAUUACUGUAUUUUCUGGUUUGCUUCCAGGCAACUUGAUUUCUAUCCAUGUUCUAGUGCUUAAGGAUGUGUUCAUGUAUGCUGUGGCCUGGAUUUAUCAAAGAAAGACUGAGCUAUCCUUAACUAUGGAGACAUUGCUAAGAAGCUCAAGGACUAUGAACUUUUGGGACCUCGUGAAAGGAAGGCCACUUCUUCUCUGAGUAAUCCCCACUCCAAUCCUAC
This 896-nucleotide long non-coding RNA is filed under the name Chrysemys picta bellii (western painted turtle). RNAcentral describes it as "lncRNA (ENSCPBG00000015902.1)". The record is from RNAcentral. Lineage: Eukaryota; Metazoa; Chordata; Testudines; Emydidae.